UACGUAGGGACCAAGCGUUGUUCGGAUUUACUGGGCGUAAAGGGCGCGUAGGCGGCAAUUCAAGUCAUCUGUGAAAUCUCCGAGCUUAACUCGGAACGGUCAGAUGAUACUGCUUUGCUAGAGUGCAGAAGGGGCAACCGGAAUUCUUGGUGUAGCGGUGAAAUGCGUAGAUAUCAGGAGGAACACCGGUGGCGAAGGCGCCUAUCUGGCCCAAUACUGACGCUGAGGCGCGAAAGCUAGGGGAGCAAACGGG
RNAcentral lists this ribosomal RNA (253 nucleotides) under uncultured bacterium. RNAcentral describes it as "partial 16S ribosomal RNA". It matches the Rfam family "Bacterial small subunit ribosomal RNA", at positions 524 to 776 of the family's 1533-position model. The record is from RNAcentral.